Molecule: ribosomal RNA, 478 nt
Filed under: uncultured bacterium
Lineage: Bacteria
Description: bacterial SSU rRNA
Rfam family: Bacterial small subunit ribosomal RNA
Source: RNAcentral
UAGUUGUAGUGGUGUCGUUCGACCUACGGAUUGACGAUGGAUCACAGUGAGUGGCGGACGGGUGAGUAACACGUAGGUAACCUGCCCCGGAGCGGGGGAUAACAUUUGGAAACAGAUGCUAAUACCGCAUAACAACAAAAUCCACAUGGCUUUUGUUUGAAAGAUGGCUUUGGCUAUCACUCUGGGAUGGACCUGCGGUGCAUUAGCUAGUUGGUAAGGUAACGGCUUACCAAGGCGAUGAUGCAUAGCCGAGUUGAGAGACUGAUCGGCCACAAUGGAACUGAGACACGGUCCAUACUCCUACGGGAGGCAGCAGUAGGGAAUCUUCCACAAUGGGCGCAAGCCUGAUGGAGCAACACCGCGUGAGUGAAGAAGGGUUUCGGCUCGUAAAGCUCUGUUGUUGGAGAAGAACGUGCGUGAGAGUAACUGUUCAUGCAGUGACGGUAUCCAACCAGAAAGUCACGGCUAACUACGUGCC